Molecule: ribosomal RNA, 417 nt
Filed under: Marinobacter sp. enrichment culture clone E
Lineage: Bacteria; Pseudomonadati; Pseudomonadota; Gammaproteobacteria; Pseudomonadales; Marinobacteraceae
Description: bacterial SSU rRNA
Rfam family: Bacterial small subunit ribosomal RNA
Source: RNAcentral
AACGCGAAGAACCUUACCUGGCCUUGACAUCCUGCGAACUUUCUAGAGAUAGAUUGGUGCCUUCGGGGACGUAGUGACAGGUGCUGCAUGGCCGUCGUCAGCUCGUGUCGUGAGAUGUUGGGUUAAGUCCCGUAACGAGCGCAACCCCUAUCCCUAGUUGCUAGCAGUUCGGCUGAGAACUCUAGGGAGACUGCCGGUGACAAACCGGAGGAAGGUGGGGAUGACGUCAGGUCAUCAUGGCCCUUACGGCCAGGGCUACACACGUGCUACAAUGGCGCGCACAGAGGGCUGCAAACUCGCGAGGGUAAGCCAAUCUCUUAAAACGCGUCGUAGUCCGGAUCGCAGUCUGCAACUCGACUGCGUGAAGUCGGAAUCGCUAGUAAUCGCGAAUCAGAAUGUCGCGGUGAAUACGUUCCC